RNAcentral lists this ribosomal RNA (370 nucleotides) under uncultured cyanobacterium. RNAcentral describes it as "bacterial SSU rRNA". It matches the Rfam family "Bacterial small subunit ribosomal RNA", at positions 376 to 749 of the family's 1533-position model. The record is from RNAcentral. Lineage: Bacteria; Bacillati; Cyanobacteriota.
CGAAAGCCUGACGGAGCAAGACCGCGUGGGGGAAGAAGGCUCUUGGGUUGUAAACCCCUUUUCUCUGGGAAGAAAGUUGUGAAAGCAACCUGACGGUACCAGAGGAAUCAGCAUCGGCUAACUCCGUGCCAGCAGCCGCGGUAAGACGGAGGAUGCAAGCGUUAUCCGGAAUGAUUGGGCGUAAAGCGUCCGCAGGUGGCAGUUCAAGUCUGCUGUUAAAGGUUCUGGCUCAACCAGAGACAGGCAGUGGAAACUGAAUAGCUAGAGUGCGGUAGGGGCAGAGGGAAUUCCCAGUGUAGCGGUGAAAUGCGUAGAGAUUGGGAAGAACACCGGUGGCGAAAGCGCUCUGCUAGGCCGUAACUGACACUCA